Molecule: ribosomal RNA, 495 nt
Filed under: uncultured bacterium
Lineage: Bacteria
Description: partial 16S ribosomal RNA
Rfam family: Bacterial small subunit ribosomal RNA
Source: RNAcentral
GACGAACGCUGGCGGCGUGCCUAAUACAUGCAAGUAGAACGCUGAAGGAGGAGCUUGCUUCUCCGGAUGAGUUGCGAACGGGUGAGUAACGCGUAGGUAACCUGCCUGGUAGCGGGGGAUAACUAUUGGAAACGAUAGCUAAUACCGCAUAAGAGUAGAUGUCGCAUGACAUUUGCUUAAAAGGUGCAACUGCACCACUACCAGAUGGACCUGCGUUGUAUUAGCUAGUUGGUGAGGUAACGGCUCACCAAGGCAACGAUACAUAGCCGACCUGAGAGGGUGAUCGGCCACACUGGGACGGAGACACGGCCCAGAAUCCUACGGGAGGCAGCAGGAGGGAAUCUUCGGCAAUGGACGGAAGGCUGACCGAGGAACGCCGCGUGAGGGAAGAAGGGUGUCGGAUCGGAAAGCUCGGUUGUAAGAGAAGAACGAGUGUGAGAGUGGAAAGUUCACACUGUGACGGUACCUUAUCAGAAAGGGACGGCUAACUACGUG